GGACGAACGCUGGCGGCGUGCCUAAUACAUGCAAGUCGAGCGANCGGAACCAACAGAUUUACUUCGGUAAUGACGUUGGGAAAGCGAGUGGCGAACGGGUGAGUAACACGUGGGAAAUCUGCCUAGGAGUGGGGGAUAACAUUCGGAAACGGAUGCUAAUACCGCAUAUCUUUUUGAACCGCAUGGUUCUUAAACGAAAGACGGCUUCGGCUGUCGCUCUUAGAUGAUCCCGCGGCGUAUUAGUUAGUUGGUGGGGUAAAGGCCUACCAAGACCAUGAUACGUAGCCGACCUGAGAGGGUGAUCGGCCACACUGGGACUGAGACACGGCCCAGACUCCUAUGGGAGGCAGCAGUGGGGAAUCUUCCGCAAUGGACGAAAGUCUGACGGAGCAACGCCGCGUGAACGAUGACGGCCUUCGGGUUGUAAAGUUCUGUUAUACGGGACGAAUGGUACGACGGUCAAUACCCGUCGUAAGUGACGGUACCGUAAGAGAAAGCCACGGCUAACUACGUG
This 514-nucleotide ribosomal RNA is filed under the name uncultured bacterium. RNAcentral's name for it is "bacterial SSU rRNA". It matches the Rfam family "Bacterial small subunit ribosomal RNA", at positions 27 to 507 of the family's 1533-position model. The record is from RNAcentral.